Molecule: small nucleolar RNA, 104 nt
Organism: Otolemur garnettii (small-eared galago)
Lineage: Eukaryota; Metazoa; Chordata; Mammalia; Primates; Galagidae
Source: Ensembl
UUCCUUUUGUAGUUCACAAAGGUGAUGCCUGGAUGUUUGCAGGCAUGUGUGAGAUGUGCCUACCUCAAACUUUGUUACCACAUCAGCACAUUACUCACCUGAUG